This 253-nucleotide ribosomal RNA is filed under the name uncultured bacterium. RNAcentral's name for it is "partial 16S ribosomal RNA". It matches the Rfam family "Bacterial small subunit ribosomal RNA", at positions 524 to 776 of the family's 1533-position model. The record is from RNAcentral.
UACGAAGGGGGCUAGCGUUGCUCGGAAUCACUGGGCGUAAAGCGCACGUAGGCGGCUUUCUAAGUCAGGGGUGAAAUCCUGGAGCUCAACUCCAGAACUGCCUUUGAUACUGGGAAGCUCGAGUCCGGAAGAGGUGAGUGGAACUCCGAGUGUAGAGGUGAAAUUCGUAGAUAUUCGGAAGAACACCAGUGGCGAAGGCGGCUCACUGGACUGGUAUUGACGCUGAGGUGCGAAAGCGUGGGGAGCAAACAGG